This 253-nucleotide ribosomal RNA is filed under the name uncultured bacterium. RNAcentral describes it as "partial 16S ribosomal RNA". It matches the Rfam family "Bacterial small subunit ribosomal RNA", at positions 524 to 776 of the family's 1533-position model. The record is from RNAcentral.
CACGUAGGGUGCGAGCGUUGUCCGGAUUUACUGGGCGUAAAGAGCGCGCAGGCGGUCGUUCAAGUCGAGUGUGAAAGCCCCCGGCUCAACUGGGGAGGGUCACUCGAUACUGAUCGACUUGAAGGCAGGAGAGGGAAGCGGAAUUCCCGGUGUAGUGGUGAAAUGCGUAGAUAUCGGGAGGAACACCAGUGGCGAAGGCGGCUUCCUGGGCCGAUACUGACGCUGAGGAGCGAAAGCGUGGGGAGCGAACAGG